RNAcentral lists this ribosomal RNA (674 nucleotides) under Lactarius sp. YM2097. RNAcentral's name for it is "eukaryotic LSU rRNA". The stretch from base 219 to 372 matches the Rfam family "5.8S ribosomal RNA". The record is from RNAcentral. Lineage: Eukaryota; Fungi; Basidiomycota; Agaricomycetes; Russulales; Russulaceae.
GUGUGAGGCGUGCGAGGGCUGUCGCUGACUUUUUGAGACACAAAAGUCGUGCACGCCGGAGUACGUCCUCUCACAUAAAAUCCAUCUCACCCUUUUGUGCACCACCGCGUGGGCGCCCUUUGGGAUCGAAUCGAUCCAGGAGGGGGCUUGCGUUUUCACACAAACCCCUUUUAAAAAGUGUAGAAUGACCCCACUUUGCGAUGACACGCAAUCAAUACAACUUUCAACAACGGAUCUCUUGGCUCUCGCAUCGAUGAAGAACGCAGCGAAAUGCGAUACGUAAUGUGAAUUGCAGAAUUCAGUGAAUCAUCGAAUCUUUGAACGCACCUUGCGCCCCUUGGUAUUCCGAGGGGCACACCCGUUUGAGUGUCGUGAAAAUCUCAACCUUCUCGGUUUUCUUCUGGACACCGAAGGAGGCUUGGACUUUGGAGGCCUUUGCCGGCAUCUCUCUCUUCUUGAGAGCCAGCUCCUCUUAAAUGAAUUAGCGGGGUCCUCUUUGCCGAUCCUCGACAUGUGAUAAGAUGUUUCCAUGACUUGGUUUCUGGCUCUGUUGCCUUUGGGACCCGCUUCUAACCGUCUCGACGAGACGACGUUUGCGCGCGUCUCCCUUCUCGGGAGACACUCUCAACCCCACGAACCCUUGACCUCAAAUCGGGUGAGACUACCCGCUGAAC